Small nucleolar RNA from Tursiops truncatus (common bottlenose dolphin), 76 nucleotides. Its record names the gene SNORD26. It matches the Rfam family "Small nucleolar RNA SNORD26". Rfam says of the family: U26 is a member of the C/D class of snoRNA which contain the C (UGAUGA) and D (CUGA) box motifs. U26 is encoded within the U22 snoRNA host gene (UHG) in mammals and is thought to act as a 2'-O-ribose methylation guide for ribosomal RNA. NCBI's taxonomy places the organism in Eukaryota, Metazoa, Chordata, Mammalia, Artiodactyla, Delphinidae. The record is from Ensembl.
CUACGGGGAUGAUCUCAAAAGUUGAACUCUCUCUUUCUGAUGAAUUAGUGGAGAAAACAUAAAAAUUCUGAGUAGC